This is a non-coding RNA of Macaca mulatta (Rhesus monkey), 1623 nucleotides long. NCBI's taxonomy places the organism in Eukaryota, Metazoa, Chordata, Mammalia, Primates, Cercopithecidae. The record is from RefSeq and is a predicted model, not a curated record.
GGGUUGCGCAUGCUCAUCUACAGAAGCGCCGCUUGGCCUUUGGACUAACCUAUCUGUCGCGCUAACGGGCCGGCGUCGCCGCCAGGGGACGCUUGGGCAGCAGGGUGGUCGCUGGGUCGUGAGCUGGCGCCGAGGACGCCGAGCGACUGCGGGACUUCUGUCAGCGUCCUGCUAUCCGGCUGCCCGCCGCGCUCCCUGGUAGUGUCCGUGGACGCGCAGGCCUUGAAGAACCUCCUCGCGGCGGGCCCCCGAGGUAACUGCUGAGGCAGAUAAUGGCGCCUGGACUGCGGUGGCGCUUGCCCUGCCGCCUGGCGGCUUUCUGCAGGGCCAGGGUAUACUUGUUUUUCUGUAAACCGACUCUUCCUUAGCACAAGAGAGGUGUCAAAGCGCCGGCGCGUCUCCAGAGCCCCGGGAGGAAGGCUGUAACGGCAGCCCCAUCGUAGACAGGGACAUUCGCAUCCCGAGCCCUGGAUCUCUGAAAAGCAGACCAGAAUUUGGAAGCUGGAAGGAACCUUAGAUCGUCCAUUCUGGGUGUCUCUCUUCGCUGGCGUUUUCCCACGAGAGGAACCUACAAGUGUCAAGGAAAAAAGGACAGCUAACCACAGGGCAGGCCACGGGCAAGAUAUCUCAGUGUUCUCCGCUCUCAGGUCAGGUCAUGAUCCCCAGGGGACCUGGAGGACUGAAUGAUGCUGCCCCCGAGGAGGCUGCUGUCUUGUCUUAGGAGGGAGAGCAGGUGAAGUCCCCAUGGGAGGAAGCACCUAGCCCCAUUCCUGCUGAGCAAGAAGAGGUGGCAGGGACCCCAGACUGGGAGAGGCCUCUGAGGACAGCAAAGAGCAUAAGGCCCUGGGACUGGUUCCCCGUGCUCAUGACAGAGCUCUGCCUGGACUGGCUCUCAGCCUCCAACAACCUCAAGACUCAGAACUGUGAAGAAAAAGUUUCCAGUAAUUCCAAGAGUUGCUGCUGCUAUAGGCCCUGCUGCUGCCUUUUGGGGCCUCCAUCUUCAGAGAGACCCAGUGUGGCUUCAUCCACACUCCCUGUCCCCACAGCUGCAGGAACAGCACUUCCUGCCACCGAGCCACUUCACCACAAUGGAUUGUCUCUGGAAGGGACAAGGGGGCCCUGGCCGGCCUUCCGACUGACUCGGUGCCAGGGGAUGGACCAACGUUCCUCUCGUGCUGACAGCCGGGCCGCACCCUGGCAAGAGGUCAUUUACAGAAAUGCUGGUGGGAACCGCUGCCAGGGAUGCUGUAGGGUCCUCUGGCAAAAGAGGUCUCAAGUGGCUUCUCAGAGUGUCUGUGGUUCUCUAUCCCAGGCUGUUCCCUAAGAGGGUCUGCCCAGGACUCAGGCCCUUCCUCUAGCAGUGGACUCUCUAGGAAUGUCCUUUCCCAAACCCUCUGCAAAUCCUGUUCCUCGGAGGCCCUACUGCAGCCCUGGCACUUCUCAGGAGCUCGCCCUGCAGAGACCCCGGCGUCCAUCGCUCUGCACCUCGCGCAGGAAGCCUGACUCCUCCUUCAGUGCCUCAUGUGUUAGGUCAAACAGCCUGAGGAAGCGAGGGUCGUCGUACUCGAAGCGGCGCCCGUAGGUGAGGGAGGCGAUCACGUUGCUCACUGCUUUAUCCAGGAG